CAACUUUCAACAACGGAUCUCUUGGCUCUCGCAUCGAUGAAGAACGCAGCGAAAUGCGAUACGUAAUGUGAAUUGCAGAAUUCAGUGAAUCAUCGAAUCUUUGAACGCACCUUGCGCCCCUUGGCAUUCCGAAGGGCACACCCGUUUG
Molecule: ribosomal RNA, 148 nt
Filed under: Lactifluus acrissimus
Lineage: Eukaryota; Fungi; Basidiomycota; Agaricomycetes; Russulales; Russulaceae
Description: 5.8S ribosomal RNA
Rfam family: 5.8S ribosomal RNA
About the family: 5.8S ribosomal RNA (5.8S rRNA) is a component of the large subunit of the eukaryotic ribosome. It is transcribed by RNA polymerase I as part of the 45S precursor that also contains 18S and 28S rRNA. Functionally, it is thought that 5.8S rRNA may be involved in ribosome translocation.
Source: RNAcentral